UACGUAGGGGGCAAGCGUUGUCCGGAUUUAUUGGGCGUAAAGAGCUCGUAGGCGGCUGUCCACGUCGGAUGUGAAAGCUCAGGGCUCAACCCUGAGAGGCCAUUCGAUACGGGACGGCUAGAGGUAGGUAGGGGAAAGUGGAAUUCCUGGUGUAGCGGUGAAAUGCGCAGAUAUCAGGAGGAACACCGGUGGCGAAGGCGGCUUUCUGGGCCUUACCUGACGCUGAGGAGCGAAAGCUGGGGGAGCGAACAGG
This 253-nucleotide ribosomal RNA is filed under the name uncultured bacterium. RNAcentral describes it as "partial 16S ribosomal RNA". It matches the Rfam family "Bacterial small subunit ribosomal RNA", at positions 524 to 776 of the family's 1533-position model. The record is from RNAcentral.